GUGCCAGCAGCCGCGGUAAUACGUAGGUGGCAAGCGUUGUCCGGAUUUAUUGGGCGUAAAGCGAGCGCAGGCGGUUUCUUAAGUCUGAUGUGAAAGCCCCCGGCUCAACCGGGGAGGGUCAUUGGAAACUGGGAGACUUGAGUGCAGAAGAGGAGAGUGGAAUUCCAUGUGUAGCGGUGAAAUGCGUAGAGAUCUGGAGGAAUACCGGCGGCGAAGGCGGCCCCCUGGACAAAGACUGACGCUCAGGUGCGAAAGCGUGGGGAGCAAACAGGAUUAGAUACCCCAGUAGUCC
RNAcentral lists this ribosomal RNA (292 nucleotides) under uncultured prokaryote. RNAcentral describes it as "partial 16S ribosomal RNA". It matches the Rfam family "Bacterial small subunit ribosomal RNA", at positions 505 to 796 of the family's 1533-position model. The record is from RNAcentral.